This 253-nucleotide ribosomal RNA is filed under the name uncultured bacterium. RNAcentral describes it as "partial 16S ribosomal RNA". It matches the Rfam family "Bacterial small subunit ribosomal RNA", at positions 524 to 776 of the family's 1533-position model. The record is from RNAcentral.
GACGAACCGAGCGAACGUUAUUCGGAAUCACUGGGCUUAAAGGGCGCGUAGGCGGGCAUUCAAGUCUAUGGUGAAAUCCUCCAGCUCAACUGGAGAACUGCCGUGGAUACUGGGUGUCUCGAGGGAGGUAGGGGCGUGCGGAACUAAUGGUGGAGCGGUGAAAUGCGUUGAUAUCAUUAGGAACUCCGGUGGCGAAGGCGGCACGCUGGACCUCUUCUGACGCUGAGGCGCGAAAGCCAGGGGAGCAAACGGG